This 468-nucleotide ribosomal RNA is filed under the name uncultured bacterium. Its description in RNAcentral is "partial 16S ribosomal RNA". It matches the Rfam family "Bacterial small subunit ribosomal RNA", at positions 28 to 507 of the family's 1533-position model. The record is from RNAcentral.
GACGAACGCUGGCGGCGUGCUUAACACAUGCAAGUCGAACGGAAAGGCCCUCCUCUUGCGGGGUGCCCGAGUGGCGAACGGGUGAGUAACACGUGAGUAACCUGCCUCUGACUUUGGGAUAACUUCAGGAAAUUGGGGCUAAUACUGGAUAGGAGCUCCUGUCCCAGGGUGGGGGGUGGAAAGUUUUGGUGGUUGGGGAUGGACCUGCGGCUCAUCAGCCUGUUGGUGGAGUAGUGGCUUACCAAGGCCUUGACGGGUAGCCAGCCUAGGAAGAUGAACAGCCUCAGUGGGACUGAGAUACGGCCCAGACUCCUACGGGACGCAGCGGUGGGAAAUUUUACACAAUGGGCGGAAGCCUGAUGCAGCAACGCCGCGUGCGGAAUGGCGACCUUCGGAUUGAAAACCGCUUUCGCCUGUAGCAAAGCGUGAGUGACGAUAAUAAAUAAAGAAGCACCGACUAACUACGUG